UUUUAGCGUGAGGGACAGGAGCGGCAUCCUUUUGUGGCGCGAUAGCAGAACAAAAGAUACAGCGUAUAGCCCGACCCGUA
This 80-nucleotide small RNA is filed under the name Flavobacterium xueshanense. Its description in RNAcentral is "Flavo-1 RNA". It matches the Rfam family "Flavo-1 RNA". The record is from RNAcentral. Lineage: Bacteria; Pseudomonadati; Bacteroidota; Flavobacteriia; Flavobacteriales; Flavobacteriaceae.